Molecule: long non-coding RNA, 355 nt
Organism: Oncorhynchus tshawytscha (Chinook salmon)
Lineage: Eukaryota; Metazoa; Chordata; Actinopteri; Salmoniformes; Salmonidae
Source: Ensembl
CAGAUGGUGAAGGUAGUGGACUAAGAUUAUGUAGGUAGUGGUCUUAGAUGGUGUAGGUAGUGGACUUAGAUGGUGUAGGUAGUGGACUAAGAUUAUGUAGGUAGUGGACAGAUGGUGUAGGUAGUGGUCUUAGAUGAUGUAGGUAGUGGUCUUAGAUGGUGUAGGUAGUGGACAGAUGGUGUAGGUAGUGGACAGAUGGUGUAGGUAGUGGACUUAGAUGGUGUAGGUAGUGGACAGAUGGUGAAGGUAGUGGACAGAUGGUGUAGGUAGUGGACAGAUGGUGUAGGUAGUGGUCUUAGAUGGUGUAGGUAGUGGUCUUAGAUGGUGUAGGUAGUGGACUUAGAUGGUGUAGGUA